GAUGAACGCUCGCUACAGGCUUAACACAUGCAAGUCGCGGGGCAGCAUGGGGGUUGCUUGCCAUCCCCGAUGGCGACCGGCGCACGGGUGAGUAACGCGUAUCCAACCUGCCCUUCACCACGGGAUAACCCGGCGAAAGUCGGACUAAUACCGUAUGUUGUCCAUUGACGGCCUCCGAUUUGGACGAAAGGCUUGGCGGUGAGGGAUGGGGAUGCGUCCGAUUAGCCAGACGGCGGGGUAACGGCCCACCGUGGCUACGAUCGGUAGGGGUUCUGAGAGGAAGGUCCCCCACACUGGAACUGAGACACGGUCCAGACUCCUACGGGAGGCAGCAGUGAGGAAUAUUGGUCAAUGGGCGUAAGCCUGAACCAGCCAAGUAGCGUGCAGGAUGACGGCCCUAUGGGUGGUAAACUGCUUUUAUGCGGGGAUAAAGUGGCCCACGUGUGGGCUUUUGCAGGUACCGCAUGAAUAAGGACCGGCUAAUUCCGUG
Molecule: ribosomal RNA, 490 nt
Filed under: uncultured bacterium
Lineage: Bacteria
Description: partial 16S ribosomal RNA
Rfam family: Bacterial small subunit ribosomal RNA
Source: RNAcentral